UCUGCCCUGUGGCUUAAGGGAGAAACAGGUUCUCUUUAGGAAAUCUGUGGAGCCCUAGUCUGGACAGGGACCACAGAGAACCCUUGGCCUAUACUGAGAGCAGCCAGCCCUGCAGAUGCACCCAGCCCUGCCUAGUCCCUGCUGAUUUGCAUUUGCCUAGAGCACAGCCAGCUGCUGGAGUAUUUCUUAAGAGGCUACUGGUCACACCCUGUGCAGCAGUCAGUCCCAGUCAGGAUACAGCAUGGACAUGAGGGCCCCCACUCAGCUCCUGGGGCUCCUGCUGCUCUGGGUCCAAGGUGCCAGAUGUGACAUCCAGAUGACCCAGUCUCCAUCUUCUCUUUCGGCAUCCAUAGGAGACACUGUCACCAUCUCUUGUCAGGCGAGUCAGGACAUAAACAAAUAUUUAGCUUGGUAUCAACAGAAACCAGGGAAAGCUCCUAAACUUCUGAUCUAUUAUGCAUCUAGCUUAGAAUCUGGGGUCCCACAGAGGUUCAGUGGCAGUGGAUCUGGGACAGAUUACACUCUCACCAUCAACAGUGUGGAGGCUGAAGAUGUUGGAACUUAUUAUUGUCAGCAGCAUCAGAGUUACCCUCCCACAGUGAUACAAGUCAUAACAUAA
Molecule: non-coding RNA, 619 nt
Organism: Heterocephalus glaber (naked mole-rat)
Lineage: Eukaryota; Metazoa; Chordata; Mammalia; Rodentia; Bathyergidae
Source: the annotation of a RefSeq genome assembly